GUGCCAGCAGCCGCGGUAAGACGAACCGGACAAACGUUAUUCGGAAUCAUUGGGCUUAAAGGGUGCGUAGGCUGUGCAGAAAGUUGGAUGUGAAAUCUCUCGGCUCAACCGAGAAACUGCGUCCAAAACUACUGUGCUUGAGGAAGAUAGAGGUGAGCGGAACUAAUGGUGGAGCGGUGAAAUGCGUUGAUAUCAUUAGGAACACCUGUGGCGAAAGCGGCUCACUGGGUCUUUUCUGACGCUGAGGCACGAAAGCUAGGGUAGCGAACGGGAUUAGAUACCCGUGUAGUCC
Molecule: ribosomal RNA, 292 nt
Filed under: uncultured bacterium
Lineage: Bacteria
Description: partial 16S ribosomal RNA
Rfam family: Bacterial small subunit ribosomal RNA
Source: RNAcentral